Molecule: non-coding RNA, 485 nt
Organism: Cinara cedri
Lineage: Eukaryota; Metazoa; Arthropoda; Insecta; Hemiptera; Aphididae
Source: the annotation of a GenBank genome assembly
GGCACAAAGAAUAAAGCUUUCAAAAGAAUUAUCAAAACGCUCCACUGGAAAAACAUUAUACAUUUUAGAUGAACCUACAACUGGACUGCAUUUUGAAGAUAUAAAUAACUUACUGACAAUACUGCACAAGUUGGUUGAUAUGGGAAAUACGGUGAUAGUUAUUGAACAUAAUUUACACGUUAUAAAGACAGCAGAUUACAUAAUAGAUAUCGGACCAGAGGGAGGAGCAAAAGGUGGCAGAGUGGUAGCUAGAGGAAUACCAGAAGAGGUAGCUAGUAUGCCAGAAAGUGUUACUGGUAAAUAUCUUAAACAACACCUGCCAAAAUUAGUGCAAGCAUAAAUAGUUACAGUUGUUUUUGAUCCAGUUAUGGCAUGGCUUUUUAGGGUUAAAACAUCAAAUGUGAGAGGGUAGGAAAAAGUUUAAAAUAAAAAACAAACUAUAGAAUUCCUUAAGUCAUAUCUGUAUGUUGCUGGCACUUUUACCU